RNAcentral lists this ribosomal RNA (111 nucleotides) under Caerostris darwini. The record is from RNAcentral. Lineage: Eukaryota; Metazoa; Arthropoda; Arachnida; Araneae; Araneidae.
ACGGCCGUACCAUGCUGAAUAUACCGGUUCUCGUUAGAUCACCGAAGUUAAGCAUCAUUGGGCGCGGUCAGUACUUGGGUGGGUGACCACCUAGGAACACCGCGUGCCGUU